This 487-nucleotide ribosomal RNA is filed under the name uncultured bacterium. RNAcentral's name for it is "bacterial SSU rRNA". It matches the Rfam family "Bacterial small subunit ribosomal RNA", at positions 29 to 507 of the family's 1533-position model. The record is from RNAcentral.
AUGAACGCUAGCGGCAGGCUUAAUACAUGCAAGGUCGAGGGGCAGCACAUGAGUAGCAAUACGAUGGUGGCGACCGGCGCACGGGUGCGUAACGCGUAUGCAAUCUACCUUUAACAGAGGGAUAGCCCCGAGAAAUCGGGAUUAAUACCUCAUAAAAUUUUCACAUGGCAUCAUGAGAAAAUCAAAGCUGAGGCGGUUAAAGAUGAGCAUGCGUGACAUUAGCUAGUUGGAGAGGUAACGGCUCACCAAGGCGACGAUGUCUAGGGGUUCUGAGAGGAUGAUCCCCCACACUGGUACUGAGACACGGACCAGACUCCUACGGGAGGCAGCAGUAAGGAAUAUUGGUCAAUGGGCGCGAGCCUGAACCAGCCAUGCCGCGUGCAGGAAGACGGCCUUAUGGGUUGUAAACUGCUUUUGUCGGGGAAUAAAUCUUUCUACGUGUAGAGAGUUGAAGGUACCCGAAGAAUAAGCAUCGGCUAACUCCGUG